GGCGGCGUGCCUAAUACAUGCAAGUCGAACGCACUGACGUCGACAGAAGGUGCUUGCACUGGAAGUUGAUUGACGUGAGUGGCGGACGGGUGAGUAACACGUGGGUAACCUGCCCUUAAGCGGGGGAUAACAUUUGGAAACAGAUGCUAAUACCGCAUAAAAGUUGAGAUCACAUGGUCUUAAUUUGAAAGACGGCCUUUGGCUGUCACUUAAGGAUGGACCCGCGGCGUAUUAGCUAGUUGGUGAGAUAAUAGCCCACCAAGGCGAUGAUACGUAGCCGACCUGAGAGGGUAAUCGGCCACAUUGGGACUGAGACACGGCCCAAACUCCUACGGGAGGCAGCAGUAGGGAAUCUUCCACAAUGGACGAAAGUCUGAUGGAGCAACGCCGCGUGAGUGAAGAAGGUUUUCGGAUCGUAAAACUCUGUUGUUGGAGAAGAACAGGGACUAGAGUAACUGUUAGUCCUUUGACGGUAUCCAACCAGAAAGCCACGGCUAACUACGUGCCAGCAGCCGCGGUAAUACGUAGGUGGCAAGCGUUGUCCGGAUUUAUUGGGCGUAAAGCGAGCGCAGGCGGUUUCUUAAGUCUGAUGUGAAAGCCUUCGGCUUAACCGAAGAAGUGCAUCAGAUACUGGGAAACUUGAGUGCAGAAGAGGAAAGUGGAACUCCAUGUGUAGCGGUGAAAUGCGUAGAUAUAUGGAAGAACACCAGUGGCGAAGGCGGCUUUCUGGUCUGUAACUGACGCUGAGGCUCGAAAGUAUGGGGAGCGAACAGGAUUAGAUACCCUGGUAGUCCAUACCGUAAACGAUGAAUGCUAAGUGUUGGAGGGUUUCCGCCCUUCAGUGCUGCAGCUAACGCAUUAAGCAUUCCGCCUGGGGAGUACGACCGCAAGGUUGAAACUCAAAGGAAUUGACGGGGGCCCGCACAAGCGGUGGAGCAUGUGGUUUAAUUCGAAGCUACGCGAAGAACCUUACCAGGUCUUGACAUCUAGCGCCAAUCCUAGAGAUAGGACGUUCCCUUCGGGGACGCUAAGACAGGUGGUGCAUGGUUGUCGUCAGCUCGUGUCGUGAGAUGUUGGGUUAAGUCCCGCAACGAGCGCAACCCUUAUGAUUAGUUGCCAGCAUUUAGUUGGGCACUCUAAUCAGACUGCCGGUGACAAACCGGAGGAAGGUGGGGA
RNAcentral lists this ribosomal RNA (1176 nucleotides) under uncultured bacterium. RNAcentral's name for it is "bacterial SSU rRNA". It matches the Rfam family "Bacterial small subunit ribosomal RNA", at positions 38 to 1179 of the family's 1533-position model. The record is from RNAcentral.